Molecule: transfer RNA, 64 nt
Filed under: Aegilips sp. ZJUH 20220002
Lineage: Eukaryota; Metazoa; Arthropoda; Insecta; Hymenoptera; Figitidae
Description: tRNA-Phe
Source: RNAcentral
AUUUAAUUAGUUUAAAUAAAACAUAAUAUUGAAAAUAUUAAAUUGAUUAAUUAAUCAUUAAAUA